Molecule: ribosomal RNA, 776 nt
Filed under: uncultured Neocallimastigales
Lineage: Eukaryota; Fungi; Neocallimastigomycota; Neocallimastigomycetes; Neocallimastigales
Description: partial large subunit ribosomal RNA
Rfam family: Eukaryotic large subunit ribosomal RNA
Source: RNAcentral
CGAGCACGCGCGUGUGGCAUAUCAAUAAGCGGAGGAAAAGAAACUAACAAGGAUUCCCUUAGUAACGGCGAGUGAAGCGGGAAGAGCUCAAAUUUGAAAUCUUCAAGGUUCUACCUUGACGAAUUGUAGUUUAUAGAAGUGUUUUCUGUUAGUGGAGUGGCAAAAGUUCUUUGGAAUAGGACAUCAUAGAGGGUGAGAAUCCCGUAUUUGGUCAUUCCUCCUAGCGUUGUGAUACACUUUCAAAGAGUCGGAUUGUUUGGGAAUGCAGUCCAAAAUGGGUGGUAAAUUUCAUCUAAAGCUAAAUAUUGGCGAGAGACCGAUAGCGAACAAGCACCGUGAGGGAAAGAUGAAAAGAACUUUGAAAAGAGAGUUAAACAGUACGUGAAAUUGUCAAAAGGGAAGCGUUUGAACACCAGUGUUGUUUUUCCGAAAAUCAAUUACGAAUGUUUUAUUUUUGAGGAGUUAUGACUUCAUCGGCUUGCUUCUUUCUUUACGAAACUUUCUUAAUGCACUUUUCGGUUAACAAGUCAACAUCAAUUUCUUUUGUUGUAAAAGGGUAUGAGGAAGGUGGCUUUCUUUUCGGAGAAAGUGUUUAUAGCCUUGUGCCUCUGCAAUCGGAGAGAUUGAGGUCUGCAUGCGUAGAUCCUUCGGGGUUAGAUACGUUUGUGCUAAGUUAUAGCUUUUCAUAGACAACUUGUUGACUAUGUUUAGUCUUGUAGCUUACUCGCUGACGCUAUUUUACCUACGCUUAGGAUGUUGAUGUGAUACUGCGAGCA